GCCUCUUUGGCAUUGCGGUCAAAGCUGCAGUUUGGUAACCCGUAGACCCAGGUUCGAGGCCGGGUGGGGUG
Molecule: transfer RNA, 71 nt
Filed under: Megalops atlanticus (tarpon)
Lineage: Eukaryota; Metazoa; Chordata; Actinopteri; Elopiformes; Megalopidae
Description: tRNA-OTHER
Source: RNAcentral